AAUGCGGUUUGGGCCAAGUUUUUUAAGGUUCCAAAGCUUAUUUGAAGGGAGGAAAUAGGCAGAGGAUUUAUGUAUGCAUCUAGAGUGGUGUGAGGCUUUUUUUGAGAGGAAAAAGUGAGGUUUUCCCUUGUAAAGAGAGGUACUUAUAUCUCCUAUCAAUUUUGUACUUCUUGUGCCAUAGAAUUUUAAUAGAAGAAUCAUCGAGGAGGUCUUCCCUAUGGAUG
RNAcentral lists this long non-coding RNA (224 nucleotides) under Elaeis guineensis (African oil palm). Its description in RNAcentral is "long non-coding RNA (EGUI_LNC079563)". Lineage: Eukaryota; Viridiplantae; Streptophyta; Magnoliopsida; Arecales; Arecaceae. The record is from RNAcentral.